ACACCGGCAGCUCAAGUGGUAGCCGCUUUUAUUGGGCCUAAAGCGUCCGUAGCCGGUCUGAUAAGUCUCUGGUGAAAUCCCACAGCUUAACUGUGGGAAUUGCUGGAGAUACUAUCAGGCUUGAGGUCGGGAGAGGUUAGAGGUACUCCCAGGGUAGGGGUGAAAUCCUAAAAUCCUGGGAGGACCACCUGUGGCGAAGGCGUCUAAGUGGAACGAACCUGAAGGGGAGUAACGAAAGCCAGGGGCGCGAACCGGAUUAGAUACCCGGGUAGUCCUGGCCGUAAACGAUGUGGACUUGGUGUCGGGAUGUCCUCGAGCGGCCCCAGUGCCGAAGGGAAGCUGUUAAGUCCACCGCCUGGGAAGUACGGUCGCAAGACUGAAACUUAAAGGAAUUGGCGGGG
This 401-nucleotide ribosomal RNA is filed under the name uncultured bacterium. RNAcentral describes it as "partial 16S ribosomal RNA". It matches the Rfam family "Archaeal small subunit ribosomal RNA", at positions 473 to 873 of the family's 1478-position model. The record is from RNAcentral.